UCAACGUGGUGUUUAGAGUUCGAUCCUC
This 28-nucleotide small RNA is filed under the name Bombyx mori (domestic silkworm). RNAcentral describes it as "ovarian small RNA-24634". The record is from RNAcentral. Lineage: Eukaryota; Metazoa; Arthropoda; Insecta; Lepidoptera; Bombycidae.